Molecule: ribosomal RNA, 483 nt
Filed under: uncultured Sulfurihydrogenibium sp.
Lineage: Bacteria; Pseudomonadati; Aquificota; Aquificia; Aquificales; Hydrogenothermaceae
Description: bacterial SSU rRNA
Rfam family: Bacterial small subunit ribosomal RNA
Source: RNAcentral
CGCGAACGUUGGCGGCGUGCCUAACACAUGCAAGUCGUGGGGCAGCAGGCUACUGUCUUUUGGCAGUAGUGCUGGCGACCGGCAAACGGGUGAGUAACACGUAGCUUACCUACCCAUAGGUUGGGGAUAACAUCCCGAAAGGGGUGCUAAUACCCAAUAAUGAGGAGACUCCAAAGCCCUUAUGGGCGCCUAUGGAUGGGGCUGCGUCCCAUCAGCUAGUUGGUGAGGUAAUGGCUCACCAAGGCUACGACGGGUAACCGGUCUGAGAGGAUGACCGGUCACAGUGGGACUGAGACACGGCCCGCACCCCUACGGGGGGCAGCAGUGGGGAAUAUUGGGCAAUGGCCGAAAGGCUGACCCAGCAACGCCGCGUGGUGGAUGAAGCCCUUCGGGGUGUAAACACCUUUUCUGGGGGAAGAUAAUGACGGUACCCCAGGAAUAAGGGACGGCUAACUACGUGCCAGCAGCCGCGGUAAUACGUAG